This 732-nucleotide long non-coding RNA is filed under the name Olea europaea subsp. europaea. The record is from RNAcentral. Lineage: Eukaryota; Viridiplantae; Streptophyta; Magnoliopsida; Lamiales; Oleaceae.
CACCUUAGAAAAGAAAAUGUUGAAGUGAGAUGGUCUACUUGUCCUUAUCUUCUAACUGGAAGAGGCAUUCUUUCUUGCAGCAUAAACCCGAAAAGCAGCCAGCCAACAAUGGCUACUGCAGCUUCAGCAGUAAUAUUAGGACGACGUUUAAACCAUCUUGGAGGAGAACAUAUACGUAAAAAAUUUCACAAGGGAUAAGUGCUUGGGUUAUCAAUUAUUAAACUUACCUUCAUAGGAGCAAGAUGAUUCCCAAUUGUUUAAUCAUCCAGUCCAGCGUCGGACGACCGGUUUGGUCAUCCGAAAGGACAGAAUAUUUGGUCCAUUUUUCAUCCGUUUAUUUCGAUCCGGUCCAUACAUUCGUCGACCGGUCUCGUGAUUUUCUAGAUUUUAAGGACCAAAACUCUGCACUUUUUCGAAGUGUUUCUCGUUUUCUUCAUCUCCACUUUCGACCCCAUCUAAAACCCACAAAACCAACCUUCACUCCAAAAAAAUUCCAUACAAAUUCAAAAACCCAUCUCUUCCACACUCAAAAUCCCUCAUUUCCAUCCAUAAAUCACUUCAAACUGGUUAUCUGAACACUUGCUCUUCAAAUACGAUUUAUACACUAUGCAUCGAUUGAAGAUUCCAGGCAAGCGCAAUAGGAGGACAGAAAUACAACGGACUCCCUCAUCCGAAGAGGAACCCGCAUAUAAGGAGAAUAAGUUUGACAAAUGCCCAAUUCUUAUGGGUAAG